Molecule: long non-coding RNA, 740 nt
Organism: Haliotis rufescens (red abalone)
Lineage: Eukaryota; Metazoa; Mollusca; Gastropoda; Lepetellida; Haliotidae
Exons: 3
Source: RefSeq, a predicted model, not a curated record
UUGUACGUUCCUACAUUCAGUGACACAUACUCAUAACAAUGAUUGCCUGCAACUAAGUAGCAAUGAAAACUGAGUCGACCAACAUUAUAUUAUGUUGUCUGUUAUACGAGGUAUAUGAAUGUGACUCUAUCUCUGAACACGUGUUGUACACGUAUCAUAUUAUCUUGUCAUUAUAAUUAAAUGUACUUCACUCGACUUCCACCGAAUAAACGCCAUCAACUCAGCAGCCUUCUCUGUUCUUCAAGGUGAUGGCCAGUCGUGACCGUUCUACUACCGCUAGUUCCCCCAAUUAAGUAGUAACACCCAAAAGGACGUCUACGUCACCCAAAAGACACGCUACGUCAAAAGAUUCCUCUUGGCGUAAAGGGUACAUCCCCUCGAACUUAGGUGACAUCUCUGCUCCGGACACCCACAAACACAACAAAGACAAUUGCCACAGGAUUAGGCCCCCAGCUUGAUGCCUUACAAAAAGAGAAUGUGUCUUUGAGGGAACAUUUGAGAGAACAAUGAGAGACAGUCUAAUCUUUUCUAAUGUCCCUGAUCAAGUGAAGACGUGGUAUGAGCAAUGAUCGUGUUGAAACAUGGGAACAGACGGAAGGCAUACUCAGAGAUUUUAUAAAAACUGAACUCAAACUUGCCUGUAGUAGUCCAGUUGCAGUUUGUACUCCAAGCGAGCAACACCUCUCCAAGCCUCCAGAGCCUCCUCAAGCCAACGCACAGCACCGCUGAUAGCAAGCCCA